AGAAACGGCUACCACAUCCAAGGAAGGCAGCAGGCGCGCAAAUUACCCACUCCCGGCUCGGGGAGGUAGUGACGAAAAAUAACAAUACGGGACUCUUUUGAGACCCCGUAAUUGGAAUGAGUACACUCUAAAUCCUUUAACGAGGAUCCAUUGGAGAGCAAGUCUGGUGCCAGCCGUCGCGGUAAUUCCAGCUCCAAUAGCGUAUAUUAAAGUUGUUGCGGUUAAAAAGCUCGUAGUUGGAUCUCAGCUCCGGCCGGGCGGUCCACCUUUCGGUGGUUACUGCUUGACGCCGAGCGUUUCGGCGGUUAUUCUUGAUGAUCUUCACCGGUUGUCUCGGGUGACCGCCAAGUUUACUUUGAAAAAAUUAGAGUGCUCAAAGCAGACGUGACGUCUGAAUAAUUGUGCAUGGAAUAAUGGAAUAGGACCUCGGUUCUAUUUUGUUGGUUUUCGGAACACGAGGUAAUGAUUAAGAGGGACAGACGGGGGCAUUCGUAUUGCGACGCUAGAGGUGAAAUUCUUGGACCGUCGCAAGACGAACUACUGCGAAAGCAUUUGCCAAGAAUGUUUCCAUUAAUCAAGAACGAAAGUUAGAGGUUCGAAGGCGAUCAGAUACCGCCCUAGUUCUAACCAUAAACGAUGCCAGCCAGCAAUCCGCCUGUGUUCCUCAAAUGACACGGCGGGCGGCUUCCGGGAAACCAAAGCUUUUGGGUUCCGGGGGAAGUAUGGUUGCAAAGCUGAAACUUAAAGGAAUUGACGGAAGGCCACUACCAGAAAUGGAGCCUGCGGCUUAAUUUGACUCAACACGGGGAAACUUACCCGGCCCGGACACAGGAAGGAUUGACAGAUUAAGAGCUCUUUCUUGAUUCUGUGGGUAGUGGUGCAUGGUCGUUCGUAGUUGGUGGGGCGACUUGUCUGGU
Molecule: ribosomal RNA, 917 nt
Filed under: Gasteracantha diardi
Lineage: Eukaryota; Metazoa; Arthropoda; Arachnida; Araneae; Araneidae
Description: SSU rRNA
Rfam family: Eukaryotic small subunit ribosomal RNA
Source: RNAcentral